Oncorhynchus keta (chum salmon) is the source of this 1557-nucleotide long non-coding RNA. RefSeq lists it as uncharacterized. The transcript is spliced from 6 exons. The record is from RefSeq and is a predicted model, not a curated record. NCBI's taxonomy places the organism in Eukaryota, Metazoa, Chordata, Actinopteri, Salmoniformes, Salmonidae.
UAAUCUAAAUAACAGCGUUCUCGAUCAAGUGCAGCUUUAAAACAUGUUACUGGGUUCAGCUCGUAGGCCCACUCUUCAAUUGACCCAUAGAACCCUUUGCCCUUUGCCCUUGUGGAGAUCUGAGAAGAUUGGACGGGUCUAAUCAACUAACUAUUACCAUAUUGCUUACAUCUGUCAAAUCAUCUCAGAUCUCCACAAGGAAUAGGUUCUAGGAGUCGAUCAUAGGUCGUAGGGUCUAGGGGGUCGAUCAUAGGCCGUAGGGUCUAGGGGUCGAUCAUAGGCCGUAGGGUCUAGGGGUCGAUCAUAGGCCGUAGGGUCUAGGGGUCGAUCAUAGGCCGUAGGGUCUAGGGGUCAAUCAUAGGCCGUAGGGUCUAGGGGUCGAUCAUAGGCCGUAGGGUCUAGGGGUCGAUCACAGGCCGUAGGGUCUAGGGGUCGAUCAUAGGUCGUAGGGUCUAGGGGUCGAUCAUAGGCCGUAGGGUCUAGGGGUCGAUCAUAGGCCGUAGGGUCUAGGGGUCAAUCAUAGGCCGUAGGGUCUAGGGGUCGAUCAUAGGCCGUAGGGUCUAGGGGUCGAUCAUAGGCCGUAGGGUCUAGGGGUCGAUCAUAGGCCGUAGGGUCUAGGGGUCGAUCAUAGGCCGUAGGGUCUAGGGGUCGAUCACAGGCCGUAGGGUCUAGGGGUCGAUCAUAGGCCGUAGGGUCUAGGGGUCGAUCAUAGGCCGUAGGGUCUAGGGGUCGAUCAUAGGCCGUAGGGUCUAGGGGUCGAUCAUAGGCCGUAGGGUCUAGGGGUCGAUCAUAGGCCGUAGGGUCUAGGGGUCGAUCAUAGGCCGUAGGGUCUAGGGGUCGAUCAUAGGCCGUAGGGUCUAGGGGUCGAUCACAGCCGGUAAGGUCUAGGGGUCGAUCAUAGGCCGUAGGGUCUAGGGGUCGAUCACAGGCCGUAGGGUCUAGGGGGUCGAUCAUAGGCCUUAGGGUCUAGGGGUCGAUCAUAGGCCGUAGGGUCUAGGGGUCGAUCAUAGGCCGCAGGGUCUAGGGGUCGAUCACAGGCCGUAGGGUCUAGGGGUCGAUCAUAGGCCGUAGGGUCUAGGGGUCAUAGUUUGAUGCAUCUGUAGUAAACUCAGUGUAAGACUUUAGGACAAAAGUAAUAACAUUAAUAAUAAUAAUAAUACAUUGUGUUGAAUGGAAACGUUUCCCCUAUGAUACAGACAAGAUAGGAAACAAGUCAAUACGGACAGCAUCAUAUGAUCAUUCAUAACCAUUCAUAAGGUUGACAUAGGAGCUGACAUAAGAUGUAAUGCCUAGCAGUGACAUGUCAUUAUAAAAGGCAUUGUGAUGUUUAGUAAAGGUCUCUCCUCGGACUCUAAUACACAGGGGGUCGUUUAAUUAAUUUCAUAAUAAUGUUUUUUUUUUGCACUUAUAAAAAAAUGACUUUAACCUGUUAUAAUGCUAGGGCCUGGGGUGAGGGGUCAAGGGUUAGGGGUCAAGGGUUAGGGGGUUAGGGGUCAAUGGUUAGGGGUCAAGGGUUAGGGGUCAAGGGUUAGGGGCCUGGGGUUAGGGAUCAAGGGU